This 440-nucleotide ribosomal RNA is filed under the name uncultured bacterium. Its description in RNAcentral is "bacterial SSU rRNA". It matches the Rfam family "Bacterial small subunit ribosomal RNA", at positions 338 to 770 of the family's 1533-position model. The record is from RNAcentral.
CCUACGGGAGGCAGCAGUGGGGAAUCUUGGGCAAUGGGGGCAACCCUGACCCAGCGACGCCGUGUGGGGGAUGAAGGCCUUCGGGUUGUAAACCCCUGUUAGGUGGGACGAAUGUCUCUCUAUGAAUAGUGGGGAGACUUGACGGUACCACCAGAGAAAGCCCCGGCUAACUCCGUGCCAGCAGCCGCGGUAAUACGGAGGGGGCGAGUGUUGUUCGGAAUUACUGGGCGUAAAGGGCGCGCAGGCGGCUUGGCAAGUCGAGUGUGAAAUCCCUCGGCUUAACUGAGGAAUGGCGCUCGAAACUACCUCGCUAGAGGGCGGGAGAGGGAAGUGGAACUCUCGGUGUAGGGGUGAAAUCUGUAGAUAUCGAGAGGAACACCGGUGGCGAAGGCGGCUUCCUGGCCCGCAUCUGACGCUGAGGCGCGAAAGCGUGGGGAGCA